UGAGGUUAAGCGACUAAGCGUACACGGUGGAUGCCUAGGCAGUCAGAGGCGAUGAAGGACGUGCUAAUCUGCGAUAAGCGCCGGUAAGGUGAUAUGAACCGCUAUACCCGGCGAUGUCCGAAUGGGGAAACCCGGUGCACUUGUGCAUCAUCAUUAACUGAAUCCAUAGGUUAAUGAGGCGAACCAGGGGAACUGAAACAUCUAAGUACCCUGAGGAAAAGAAAUCAACCGAGAUUCCCCCAGUAGCGGCGAGCGAACGGGGAAAAGCCCAGAACCUGAAUCAUCAGCUGCAGUAGUGGAAGCGUCUGGAAAGUCGCGCGAUACAGGGUGAUAGCCCCGUACACGAAAGUGCAGUUGGUGUGAGUUCGAUGAGUAGGGCGGGACACGUGACAUCCUGUCUGAAUAUGGGGGGACCAUCCUCCAAGGCUAAAUACUCCUGACUGACCGAUAGUGAACCAGUACCGUGAGGGAAAGGCGAAAAGAACCCCGGCGAGGGGAGUGAAAGAGAACCUGAAACCGUGUACGUACAAGCAGUGGGAGCCCUGAUUUAUCAGGGUGACUGCGUACCUUUUGUAUAAUGGGUCAGCGACUUAUAUUCUGUAGCAAGGUUAACCGAAUAGGGGAGCCGCAGGGAAACCGAGUCUUAACUGGGCGUUAAGUUGCAGGGUAUAGACCCGAAACCCGGUGAUCUAGCCAUGGGCAGGUUGAAGGUUGGGUAACACUAACUGGAGGACCGAACCGACUAAUGUUGAAAAAUUAGCGGAUGACUUGUGGCUGGGGGUGAAAGGCCAAUCAAACCGGGAGAUAGCUGGUUCUCCCCGAAAGCUAUUUAGGUAGCGCCUCGUGAACUCAUCUUCGGGGGUAGAGCACUGUUUCGGCUAGGGGGUCAUCCCGACUUACCAACCCGAUGCAAACUACGAAUACCGAAGAAUGUUAUCACGGGAGACACACGGCGGGUGCUAACGUUCGUCGUGAAGAGGGAAACAACCCAGACCGCCAGCUAAGGUCCCAAAGUCAUGGUUAAGUGGGAAACGAUGUGGGAAGGCCCAGACAGCCAGGAUGUUGGCUUAGAAGCAGCCAUCAUUUAAAGAAAGCGUAAUAGCUCACUGGUCGAGUCGGCCUGCGCGGAAGAUGUAACGGGGCUAAACCAUGCACCGAAGCUGCGGCAGCGACGCUCAGGCGUUGUUGGGUAGGGGAGCGUUCUGUAAGCCUGUGAAGGUGUGCUGUGAGGCAUGCUGGAGGUAUCAGAAGUGCGAAUGCUGACAUAAGUAACGAUAAUGCGGGUGAAAAACCCGCACGCCGGAAGACCAAGGGUUCCUGUCCAACGUUAAUCGGGGCAGGGUGAGUCGACCCCUAAGGCGAGGCUGAAAAGCGUAGUCGAUGGGAAACAGGUUAAUAUUCCUGUACUUGGUGUUACUGCGAAGGGGGGACGGAGAAGGCUAGGCUAUCCGGGCGACGGUUGUCCCGGUUCAAGCGUGUAGGUGUGGUGACCUGGCAAAUCCGGUUACCUUUAACACUGAGGCGUGAUGACGAAGCUCUACGGAGCUGAAGUAGUUGAUGCCCUGCUUCCAGGAAAAGCCUCUAAGCUCCAGGUAACACGAAAUCGUACCCCAAACCGACACAGGUGGUCAGGUAGAGAAUACUCAGGCGCUUGAGAGAACUCGGGUGAAGGAACUAGGCAAAAUGGUGCCGUAACUUCGGGAGAAGGCACGCCGGCAAUAGGUGAAGUGACUUGCUCAUGGAGCCGAAGCCGGUCGAAGAUACCAGCUGGCUGCAACUGUUUAAUAAAAACACAGCACUGUGCAAACACGAAAGUGGACGUAUACGGUGUGACGCCUGCCCGGUGCUGGAAGGUUAAUUGAUGGGGUUAUCCGUAAGGAGAAGCUCUUGAUCGAAGCCCCAGUAAACGGCGGCCGUAACUAUAACGGUCCUAAGGUAGCGAAAUUCCUUGUCGGGUAAGUUCCGACCUGCACGAAUGGCGUAAUGAUGGCCAGGCUGUCUCCACCCGAGACUCAGUGAAAUUGAACUCGCUGUGAAGAUGCAGUGUACCCGCGGCAAGACGGAAAGACCCCGUGAACCUUUACUAUAGCUUGACACUGAACAUUGAGCCUUGAUGUGUAGGAUAGGUGGGAGGCUUUGAAGCGUGGACGCCAGUCUGCGUGGAGCCGACCUUGAAAUACCACCCUUUAAUGUUUGAUGUUCUAACGUAGACCCGUAAUCCGGGUUGCGGACAGUGUCUGGUGGGUAGUUUGACUGGGGCGGUCUCCUCCCAAAGCGUAACGGAGGAGCACGAAGGUUAGCUAAUCCUGGUCGGACAUCAGGAGGUUAGUGCAAAGGCAUAAGCUAGCUUGACUGCGAGAGUGACGGCUCGAGCAGGUGCGAAAGCAGGUCUUAGUGAUCCGGUGGUUCUGAAUGGAAGGGCCAUCGCUCAACGGAUAAAAGGUACUCCGGGGAUAACAGGCUGAUACCGCCCAAGAGUUCAUAUCGACGGCGGUGUUUGGCACCUCGAUGUCGGCUCAUCACAUCCUGGGGCUGAAGUAGGUCCCAAGGGUAUGGCUGUUCGCCAUUUAAAGUGGUACGCGAGCUGGGUUUAGAACGUCGUGAGACAGUUCGGUCCCUAUCUGCCGUGGGCGUUGGAGAAUUGAGGGGGGCUGCUCCUAGUACGAGAGGACCGGAGUGGACGCAUCACUGGUGUUCGGGUUGUCAUGCCAAUGGCAUUGCCCGGUAGCUACAUGCGGAAGAGAUAAGUGCUGAAAGCAUCUAAGCACGAAACUUGCCCCGAGAUGAGUUCUCCCUUGGACCUAGAGUCCACUAAAGGAACGUUGAAGACGACGACGUUGAUAGGUCGGGUGUGUAAGCGCAGCGAUGCGUUGAGCUAACCGAUACUAAUGAACCGAGAGGCUUAACCUUACAACACCGAAGGUGUUUUGGUGAGAGAC
RNAcentral lists this ribosomal RNA (2939 nucleotides) under Enterobacillus tribolii. RNAcentral's name for it is "bacterial LSU rRNA". It matches the Rfam family "Bacterial large subunit ribosomal RNA". The record is from RNAcentral. Lineage: Bacteria; Pseudomonadati; Pseudomonadota; Gammaproteobacteria; Enterobacterales; Hafniaceae.